ACCUUAAAGCUAGCCUAACUACCAUUAAUUUACCCCAAUAUUCAUAAUUAAUUACAUUAAUAUUUUAUACUUAAAACAUUUUUACAUUCUUAGUAUAGGCGAUAGAACAGAAAUAUUUAGCGCUAUAGAGAUAGUACCGCAAGGGAAAGCUGAAAAAGAAAUGAAACAAAUCAUUAAAGUAUUAAAAAGCAAAGAUUAACCCCUGUACCUUUUGCAUCAUGAUUUAGCAAGAACAAAUGGGCAAAAAGACUUUAAGUCCAUCUUCCCGAAACUAGACGAGCUACUUCGGAACAGCAUAAUAGAGCUAACCCGUCUCUGUGGCAAAAGAGUGGGGUGAUUCCUAAGUAGAGGUGAAAAGCCUACCGAGCCUAGUGAUAGCUGGUUGCCCAAGAAAAGAACUUUAAUUCUGCAAUAACCCCUUCAACUUAUCAAAUCAGAUUUACUUAAUAAGAUAAUUUGUAAGAAUUAUUAGUUAUUCAAAAGAGGUACAACUCUUCUGAAUUAAAAAACAAUUUUUCUAGGUGGGUAACGAUCAUAUUAUAUAAGGACCUCGCCUCAGUAGGCCUAAAAGCAGCCACCUGAUUAGUAAGCGUCACAGCUCCAGCCCUAACUUACCUAUAAUUCCGAUAUUUUCUCCAAACCCCCUAACCUAUAUUGGGCUUUUUUAUUUAAAACAAUAAAAGAACUUAUACUAAAAUGAGUAAUUAGAGGAUUAUCCUCUCCAAGGCACCGGUGUAAGUCAGAAAGAAUUAAAUCACUGACAAUUAUCCGACACCAACUUGAGGUUAAAGUAUUAAUAACAAAAACCUAGAAAAACACAUUUACCAGAUCGUUGACCCUACACAGGAGUGCCCCCAGGAAAGAUUAAAAGAAAGUAAAGGAACUCGGCAAACACAAACUCCGCCUGUUUACCAAAAACAUCGCCUCUUGCAAUACUUAUAUAAGAGGUCCCGCCUGCCCUGUGACAUUGUUUAACGGCCGCGGUAUUCUGACCGUGCGAAGGUAGCGUAAUCACUUGUCUUUUAAUUGAAGACCUGUAUGAAAGGCAUCACGAGAGUUUACCUGUCUCUAUUUUCUAAUCAAUGAAAUUGAUCUUCCCGUGCAGAAGCGGGAAUAAAACCAUAAGACGAGAAGACCCUAUGGAGCUUUAAACACUUAAGUUACUAUUUAAUUACCAAAUACCUAAAGGACAAAAAUAACUAUAAUAACCUAACUUAAUGUUUUCGGUUGGGGCGACCGAGGAGUAAAAGAAAACCUCCUCAUCGAUUGAGUAUAACUUAAAAAUUUGAACAACAGUUCCAAUUAAUAGAAUAUCUAACGAACAAUGACCCAGGAUUAAUUCCUGAUCAAUGGACCAAGUUACCCUAGGGAUAACAGCGCAAUCCUUUCUAAGAGCCCAUAUCGACGAAAGGGUUUACGACCUCGAUGUUGGAUCAGGACAUCCUAAUGGUGCAACCGCUAUUAAGGGUUCGUUUGUUCAACGAUUAAUAGUCCUACGUGAUCUGAGUUCAGACCGGAGUAAUCCAGGUCAGUUUCUAUCUAUGUAGAUAUUUUUCCUAGUACGAAAGGACCGGAAAAAUGAAGCCCAUGCCUCAAGCACGCUUCUCCCCCACCUGUUGAAAUUAACUCAAACAGUUAAGGGGGGUCAAUCUUCAAUUGAAGAUUAUAAUAA
RNAcentral lists this ribosomal RNA (1672 nucleotides) under Sinobatis borneensis (Borneo leg skate). RNAcentral describes it as "16S ribosomal RNA". It matches the Rfam family "Bacterial large subunit ribosomal RNA". The record is from RNAcentral. Lineage: Eukaryota; Metazoa; Chordata; Chondrichthyes; Rajiformes; Anacanthobatidae.